CCUCCAUUUGAGUAAAACUUUACCCGUUGAACACAUCGGAAUAUAAUUCGGAUACAUGGAUAAUUUGCAUAUAAGUGCCACAUAUUCAAUCAAGCCAUCAUGUAACCCGCCCAUAAGCGAACUCGGACUCAACUCAACGAGCUCGGGCGUUCGCAUCCAUAAGUGAACUCGGACUCAACUCAACGAGUUCGGAUGCCUAGUUACAUCUCACGAACUCGGACUCAACUCAACGAGUUCGGACAUUCGCAUCCAUAAGUGAACUCGGACUCAACUCAACGAGUUCGGAUGCUCAACCAUCCUAGUGACAUGUCACUUGUAUCCUAAUCUAUUCCUAAGGUUCAAAUGGGAUUUUUCUCGAACACUUAUCCU
This 369-nucleotide long non-coding RNA is filed under the name Gossypium barbadense (sea-island cotton). Its description in RNAcentral is "long non-coding RNA (GBAR_LNC011506)". Lineage: Eukaryota; Viridiplantae; Streptophyta; Magnoliopsida; Malvales; Malvaceae. The record is from RNAcentral.